AACAUCCUUUGAAUAAACUCUUUCAUUUGGAGUUUCAUAUUGAUGAUGAGAGGGAGUUAUUUGUUUUUAUUUCCAUUUUGCGGAUGAUGUAAGGCAUGGAAAGGCUAAGUUAUCUGUAAAGUAAAGAAGCAGAGCUGGGUGUUGAUUUCAAUGCUGAAGCCGUGUUGCUCCUGGCUGGCCAUGUGGGCUCCCUGUGUAAGUUCUUGGACUUUCCUGCCAUGGUUGACCCCAGUUGUCUUGAUAGGAGCUGCACCAGGACCAACACAGACUGGAGUCAUGACCAGAGCACCAGCAUCCCCAGACUUCCCUUUCUGCCCUGUUUCCCUGUAUUAGUUAGUAGAAGCCUCCAACUUUCCCUCCCAAGUGUUUGGUGUUCUUCAGCACUUGCCUUGUUUUCUGACUCCAGUGGAUGUAAACUCUUUCCCAAUGCCUAGUAAAUGUUAACCAUCCCCCCUGCCCCCCGCCCCACCCCAGCAGUCAGGAGGCAAUGGCAGUGGGCCAGGUGAGAGCUGACAAUACCUUGAACCAGAGUAGGGGUGCUGAUGAUGGAGAUGAAUGGAUUUGAGAUCUCUUUACAGUGAAACAGACUUGUUCCAGGCCCUGUGAUAGGCACUGGAGACACAAAGAUGAAUAAGAUAUGGAAACCCGUCUUUAAGGGGCUUAUAGUCUAAAGAGAGGGAGGCAUACAUAUAACACACACUGGUGCACCUGACUGUGGUGGAGUGACUGGUCACAAUGCCUUGGUUCAUGCUAUAGUCACACUCUUUGUGAUGUGAGUUCCUAGCUUCUCCUAUUAGGAAGCUGAAGCUAUUUGCCUACCCUUUGGGCCUAGGCUGCUCUUGUGAUAUGCUUUAUGAAAUACAAUGUGGUAGAAGAAGUGGUGGGCCAAUUUUGAGCCUAGGCCUCAACUGACCUUGUGUGCUUCCACCAUCUUCAGGGAUUUUGCAGAGUUUCUAAGAAAACAACUCCAGGAUAGCCUCCUUGAUGACAAGAGACUCAUGGCCCAGUCAUCUCUAUCACCUUUACUGAGAGCAGGCCAGCUACCAGAUAGGAACACGGAGGCAUAGAGAUGUAAGGUAUCUUGAGCAAAGCCACAGAGGGAAGGUUCCAGGAGCUGGAAUUCCAUCCCUCAUCUGUCUAGCUUCAAGACCCACGCUCUCUCUGAGGACAAAGAUAAGGACGCAAACCAAAACAGAGAGGAGAAAACAAGCUGGCCCCGGAGGGUUGAAGAGUGAAAUCACCCCAGUCACGGCGGAUUUGACUACGAAAGGGGCUCUGAGAAGGCAAAUGCCUUUGUCCAAGGUCACCGGCCGGAUGUAGUGGAAUCCAGGACCAGCUGCCUCCCCACACCCAUGGUGCUUUUAUGGCACCGGGAGAGGCCAAGUGCAAGAAAGGAAAUGGAAUGACUCGUUUACUGCUUCAGGCACUUUCAGCAACAAGUCCUGCUUACAAACCCGUCAAUCUACCUGGCCUCCCCUCUUCCUCUAGAGGGGGCCUCCAGCUCCUCACCUGACAGACGAAGAGGUUGGCAAGAUGCUUUCCGGAAGAUCUUAGAGCUCUGACAUUGGAAACUGCCAUGGUGAAGUGCAGAGAAGCACUCUUUAUUCCAAGGAACCCUUCAGUGCGAGGAGAAUCUUCCCAAAAUGGAAACUGGUAUGACUCCUAUAAGCAGUUAGCUGAUUUGUGUCUGUGUGCCUGUUAAAUGGAUUUACAGCUCAUGAUACCUCAUUUCAAUUUAACUAAUCCUCACCGAAUGGACAAGUGAUUUUAAAUGAUUCCCUGAAGGAACUGCAAGCUGAAGAUCAUAUUAAUGAGGCAAAUCCAAGGGAACGGCAGGAAAAUGGCUAGGAGGCUACUUCGUGGCAAGUCCUAGUGCUCGCUGCUCUUUCAGCGAAUGCCUGGAUAAAAAUAAUGGCAGGCGAAUCACAUCAGUCACAGAAUUGGUCAAAAGACUUAAAAAAUUAUUGAGAAAACUCUUUGAAAUAUGGUCUUUUCAUCCACUGUGGUUAAUGAUGAGUCUCUCCUUGGGUCUUGACACACCUGAAGAGGGUGUGAAGCCAUUGCAAUUAGCAAGACAUUAAGAAUUUUUUUCCAACUGGUUCAAGUCAUGAUAUACUCAAUCCAGCCCUUUACACAUUUUGGUGAAAUUUGAUAAUUUUGAAUUUGUUUCUUAAGAGUGAAAGUGAGAAGCUGUAAUCCAUUGGUCAGAAACUUGCUCCUCUUGCUACUGUGAUAAUGGCUAAAGAAAUAUCUGAACAUGACCCAGUGGCACAUUCAAAGGGACUCCUUGGUCAUUAAAUAUUGUCGGAAGAUGCACAGCAUCUGUGGCUGAAAAGUUGAAGGAACAUUAAACAAAUAAUUCAGCGUGAGAGAUUGGCUUUGCAACUGAUGGAAAGUACAGAUAUUUUCUACACAUUUCAGCUUAUGCUGUUUCUAGAUCGUUCAUUUCAAUAAUGAAAUACAUUGAAGGGCCCUUUCUUGUGAGCUCUCAAAGGAAAGAUGUACCAGAAAAGAUUACAUUCUCAACAAUAGAUGAGUUUCUUAACAACAGCAACGUUUUGGGUAUUUAUGUUGACUGGAGUGAAAAAAAAAAAAAUAGACACAUUUCAUGAACUUGCACCUUAUGUGAAAUUUAUCUGCUACAUUGACCAUAGCAAGCUAUUUAAGCCAGGAAGUUAAAGACACAAAAGCACAGAACACAGUAGGAUCUCACCGAUGUGGAUCAUUAUACAGAGGCAAGAAGUUUACAACAUAGCAGAAUCUUUAUAAUACUUGGUAAUGAGAUAGGGAGUACUCCUGAAAAUACUUUAUUUAAACAGGGAUUCCCUUAUUGUCUUCUGGCCAACUAUUUGAAAUAAUGAGUGAAUAAAAUCAAGGGUUGAAAUUAUUCGAUCUUUUCCAGGUUGACAAGUGGCUGUCAGGAAUAAGCUAUAGCAGAUACAUUGGGGAAAAAAAACACGAACCUGCACUCAAGUUGUCCCCUAAGGGUAAAUGUCACAACUUAAUAACGAGACAGUAAGUGCCUUUCAAAGAAACUGGUAAACCACAAUGAGAUACCAUCAUACAUGCACCAAAAUGGCUAAAAUGAAAAAAGACAGACAAUACCAAGAGGAGGCGAGAAUGAAGAGCACCCAGAAUUCCCACGUGGUGGGAGGGUCAAUUUAUGGAACCGGUCAGGCAGCUGUUUGACAAUAUCUAAAAAGCAGAACAUAAGCAAACCCAGUGACCCAGCAAUUCCACUCUAGGGAUAUACCUGACAGAAAUGCAGACAUGUUGUCCAAAAGACAGGCAUUGAAAUGCACAUAGCAACACUGUUGCUAAUAUUUGCUGGAAUUUAUUCAAAUGCCCAUCAAAAGCAAAAGGGAUAAACUCACUGUUGUGUAUUCACACUAGACAAUACUCUAUGCAAUGAGAAUAAAUGAUCCAUGACAACUUCAGUGAUAUGGAUGAAUCUCACAAAUCAAAUUUUGAGCAAAAUGAGCCAGACACACAAAAAGGUGCCCCCUGUAUGAUUCCACUUACAUGAAGUUUAAAAAAAAAAAAAAAAAGGAACAGGCCAAAAAGCUAGGAUAAUUGUUACCUUUGGGAGGAUGGAAAUAACUGGAAAAGGCACAAAGGGGUUUUUGAUAAUGAGGCUGAAGAUAAUGUUCUGCUUCUUGUUCUGUGUCUUUAAUUGGGUGUGCUCAGUUAAAUAAAAUACACUGAUCUAUACACUUGUGAUAUGUACAUUUUCCUGUAUGCAUAUUACUCUUGAAUACAAAGAAAAAAAAAUGACACCUUUCCCCUGAAGCCGUGUUUGAGCACUGGUGAUUUGAAACAUUUCCAGUGUUAACAUUGUUAAAAAUGGUAUAUAUAACGGAGAUCUCUAUUCCUGGAAAGACUGAAACAGAAUAUUCUAGACUGUUUUAAGUUUCUAAAUGUUUUUGAUGUUGAACGAGUUUUAUUUAUUUAUUUUUUAAUUCCAAUAAAUUGUGGGGAAAAUGGAUUGUUAUCAGGGAGCUUGGAAAUUUACUAGCCAAAUUCACCAAGAAUCUUUGCAUAAUUGGUAGAUAGAAUUGAAAAAGGAGCAUUAUGACUGAGUAAGGUAAAAAUGCCUCAUUUCUUUCAUUUGAAUUUAUGCAUCUUUGAGAGGCAUCUUUUCUAGCAACAACAGGCACUUAAAGCAAGUGUCAGAACAAACCAAAUUUAGGACCAAACUGUUAAUCACUACAUCAUACAGAUUAAUCCAAGGUUGAAAAAACUUAGAAAAGCCUAUUUGAAAUCACAUUGGUCUCACUAAAAGCAUUUUUAUUGUAUCAAUAAUUUUUUGAAAGCAAAAAAUAGAAUAAAAAUUACUAAAAAUUGUUUAAUUCAUCUUGAUUUCAACCUUUUAAAUAGCCAUUUUAUGUGUAUUUUAUAAUACAGAUAGUAUAUUAGAAUAAUAGUAUGUAUAUAUAAAUUAAAAAUAUAUGCACAUACACUGAAUGUCCAUGCUUGAAAUUUCGUUGUUGAUAGGGCACUCUAUCAAAAAAAGCUCAGAGACUGCUAGUCUACACCAGCAUUUAGCCUUUAGAAAUAGGUUAGUUUCGUUGAUGUAGGUCAGGAACCACAGAGAAGUUUUGAAUCCUAACUGUGCCAUUUACUAAAUGUGUGAUUUUGAGCAAUUAGUCAAUGUAUCCGGAUCUGGGUGUUCUUGUUAGCAGAAUGGAAAGUUAGCACCUGUCUGGAAAAGUUUGUCACAGUAAUUAAAUGAGCCAGUAUAUGUAAAUUUCUUAGUACCUUGAUUAGCUUCCGAACGUUUAAUCAAUAGUCACUACUCCUGUCAUAUAGUCAUUUACUAGUGUUUUGCAAACUUGCCUCAUGAGAAGGAUCUCCUGGGUGCUUAGGAAAAUGUUUCGGUCUCACCUCAGAUUUUCUGUAUUAGAAUCUUCAUGGGUAGAAUCUUGGAAGUUGUAUCUUUAGAAGGUCACUCUUAGGACCAAGCAAGUUUGAGAAAGACUGAUUUACAAGAUGCUGAAACUCUCUUCCCUCUAAUGAUCAGCUCCAUGCAUGAGUCUUACCUCCUAAGAGCCAGGAACUCCCAUAGGACCAUCUCUGUCCUGCACAGUGUCUAGCAGAGAACUCUAUAAGCCACUGGGGGGAGAAGGCCAAGGUGAAAGCUCCACGUCUGGGAUGAUAAGCAAAAAAUGGGUCUUAGUUGGUGGAGCAUAGCAAUGGAGAGACUGGGAGAGGCAACAGGCAGAGAUCCUCCACAGGAGAGAGGCAGCAUGAAGAAGCAGGAGAAACUUCCCCCUUGGGCUUGGGUGCAGAAGUCGGACUAGCUCCUUGGGGUGCUAAGUGGGAGACAUCGGAGGCAAAGCAUGGCGCCCAGGCACACUGGGAAGGCUCUGUGUCCUAAGUCCUACGUCCAAGGUGGGAGUUGACCACAACUGAUCAAUAAAAUUACCCAGGUCCAGGGUAAGAUAGACUUGGUGCUUUACCAUUUGACCUUCUUGACAAAGAUCCAUACAUACCAUUCCCAUUGACUUAGCAGAGAUUGGUCCCUGAGUUGGGGGCUUAUCCUGUGCACGAGGAGAAAGCAGCCUAGAAGCAUAGGAGGUACCUGCUUAUUCAGGUUUACCCGUACUAGGUGCUUAAUGAAUGCAUGCACAUUCAGCACGCCAUUGGGUAAUUACACUGAAUCUUGUCAUUUUGUUGCCUGUGCAUCCACUUAUUUCCCCUGUUCCUCUCCUUGCCUCUGCAAGGAAAGAUUGUCCUAGUUGGGGAGCAUGGAGCGGGUGCUCUUCCUCAGCACAGAUGCUCUGCUGUGUCCUGACAGCCCUGAGUUGCCCUCAAUUGGAAGGUGUGGAUAAUUAAGUUAAUGAACACGUUUCCACUGGCUGCUGAAAGCCUCAUUAAUCUACACACAUGUUGCCACAGGCAAAUUAUGGCGUCAAGGGUGGGAGGAUCAACAAAAAUAACUUCAGAAAUUCAUUAAUCAGACUUAGUCAAGCAUGCUGUUCAGAACUGGGAGUUCUUAUCCAGCAGUGGCCAGAGGAUUAGAUUUUUUUUUCCAGCUACAUGAAAGGGACUUCUUAAGCAGUAUUUCGGAACAUCUAGGUUAUUGUACUGGUAUUUAUGACUCUAGUGGUUGAUACUAAUGAAAUCUGUCCAAAGACUUCCGUGUGGAGGGUUCUAGAAAUCCUGAGUGGAUGAUCAGGUUUCCAAGCACACAAGAGGGAAAAUAUGAUCAUGGGAUCACAUGCAGAAACUUACCCAGCUAUGGCAGAAGUGGUUUGUGCUCCCAGGUAGGUGAUUUUCUCCCCAACCCUUCACACAGGUGUCCUUGGAGUCAGUUUGGAGCUGUUAAUGAAUGGUGAGUGGGGGCAAGAACAGGCAUCGCUCCAACGGCCCCCUUUCUGCUAUGGCAGCCUCA
This is a long non-coding RNA of Mirounga angustirostris (Northern elephant seal), 6394 nucleotides long. RefSeq lists it as uncharacterized. The record is from RefSeq and is a predicted model, not a curated record. Lineage: Eukaryota; Metazoa; Chordata; Mammalia; Carnivora; Phocidae. The transcript has 4 exons.